UACGAAGGGGGCUAGCGUUGUUCGGAAUUACUGGGCGUAAAGCGAACGUAGGCGGUGUUCCAUGUCAGAGGUGAAAGCCUGGGGCUCAACUCCAGAAUUGCCUUUGAAACGGGAACGCUUGAGUCCGAGAGAGGGUGGCGGAAUUCCUAGUGUAGAGGUGAAAUUCGUAGAUAUUCGCAAGAACACCAGUGGCGAAGGCGGCCGACUGGUCCGGUUCUGACGCUGAGGCGCGAAAGCGUGGGGAGCAAACAGG
This 253-nucleotide ribosomal RNA is filed under the name uncultured bacterium. RNAcentral's name for it is "partial 16S ribosomal RNA". It matches the Rfam family "Bacterial small subunit ribosomal RNA", at positions 524 to 776 of the family's 1533-position model. The record is from RNAcentral.